This is a long non-coding RNA of Rosa chinensis, 850 nucleotides long. RefSeq lists it as uncharacterized. NCBI's taxonomy places the organism in Eukaryota, Viridiplantae, Streptophyta, Magnoliopsida, Rosales, Rosaceae. The transcript has 5 exons. The record is from RefSeq and is a predicted model, not a curated record.
UCAAAGUUUAAUCCCCUGUAGUCAAUAGAGCUGUCAAGAAAUCUCUCUGGAGUAAAGCUCUCAGGCUUAGUCCAGUAACUUGGAUCUGUAGCAAUUGCCCAUGCAUUGAUAACUACCUUGGUUUUGACAGCUUGGUUGAUCAUCACUUCCUAUGUUUGGUGUUUUAUGAAUGAUUUUGUGAAGUAUAAAUGGUCAGGCUAAGUUGAUGCUUUCGUGCAAAGGGAACAGAUUGACUACAAUGAGAAAAUCUCCCAACCUUUUUGCUGUAUUUGAUAUUGCAAGACAGACAUCCUCUGGAGAUGUAGUAAGUACAUGUUACCUGAAGUAGCAUCAGGUAUUGUAAACACCUAGCAAGUGGUUAGGGAAAACUCAAGCCCACCGCCAUGUUCAUGAAACUUUAGGAGAACAUCUAGAAGAUCUUCCUCUGCUUCACCUUCGAGAACUUUUGUUGAUGUCUUAUCUUCCUUGUGCUCAUUAAUGAUGUUCUCCAUUAUCCUGUCAGCUUCUUUAUGCAGCCUCUCGAGUUUGGGCUUCAUCCCACUUAGCAGAUGAAGCAAUUUGACUGAAGGAAAAACAUCUGCUAAAUUAAAGCCGCUCGCCAGCUUCAUAGAUUCCUUCACACAGUGUAUGAAGUUUUCAAGAUCUUUGCUUCUUUUACCAAAGGCUGCUCGGUACGAGAUGCUAUAUGUUGAUGAGUAAAUUUCACUGAUCGGUAGCUUUGAACACGCAUUUUGCUCAAAAGCUCAUGUGCGUAAAUCUUUCUUAGCUGUCUCCAGUAAUCACCAUAUGGUGCAAACGAAACGCUUGUACAACCGUAAGUCAUAAUAGCUGUAGCAACGAUCUGCGGCCU